GACGAACGCUGGCGGCGUGCUUAACACAUGCAAGUCGAACGGAAAGGCCCUGCUUGCCGGGUACUCGAGUGGCGAACGGGUGAGUAACACGUGGGUGAUCUGCCCUGCACUUCGGGAUAAGCCUGGGAAACUGGGUCUAAUACCGGAUAGGAGCCAUUUUUAGUGUGAUGGUUGGAAAGUUUUUUCGGUGUAGGAUGAGCUCGCGGCCUAUCAGCUUGUUGGUGGGGUAAUGGCCUACCAAGGCGGCGACGGGUAGCCGGACUGAGAGGGUGGACGGCCACACUGGGACUGACAGGAGGCCGAGGCGCCUACGGGAGGCAACAGGGGGGAAGAUUGCCCAAGGGGCGCCAGCCUGAUGCAGAGGCGCCGCGGGGGGGAUGACUGCCUUCGGGUUGGAAACUCCAUUCGCUAGGGACGAAGCUUUUUGUGACGGUACCUAGAUAAGAAGCACCGGCUAACUACGUG
Molecule: ribosomal RNA, 465 nt
Filed under: uncultured bacterium
Lineage: Bacteria
Description: partial 16S ribosomal RNA
Rfam family: Bacterial small subunit ribosomal RNA
Source: RNAcentral